RNAcentral lists this long non-coding RNA (17756 nucleotides) under Triticum aestivum (bread wheat). RNAcentral describes it as "long non-coding RNA (TAES_LNC025379)". Lineage: Eukaryota; Viridiplantae; Streptophyta; Magnoliopsida; Poales; Poaceae. The record is from RNAcentral.
UUUUUUUAUUUUUUCAAAUGUGUUUUUGGCUUUUUAAAUGGUUUUUUGGGGUUUUUUUCGAUGUUUUGAUUUUCCACCGGUCUUCUUUAGGAUUUCGAUAUUUAAAAAAAUGCACGAAAAAAUGCGUUUUCUUUUUUUUUCUUUCGCGAGAGUUACGGUUUUGCUUCCGCGAGAGGCACGGUUUUGCUUUCGCAAGAGUCAUCUCCGUGCCUCUCAAAAACAAAAAAAAAUGCAUUUUCUGCGCUUUUUUCCUUUUGCGAGAGCCACGGUUGUGCUUCCUCAAGAGGCACGGGUGUGCUUCGCGAGAGUCACGGCCGUGCCUCUCGGAAAGGAAAAAAACAUGUUUUCUGUUUUUUUUCCUUUCACGAGAGUCACGGUUAUGUUUCCGCGAGAGGCACGGUUGUGCUUUAGCGAGAGUCACGGUCGUGUCUCUCGGAAACGAAAAAAAACAUGUUUUCUAAUUUUUUUUCUUUGCGAGUCAUGGUUUUGCUUCCACGAGAGGCAUGGUUGUGCUUUCACGAGUCACGCCCUUGCCUCUCGGAAACGAAAUAAAAACAUGUUUUCUGUUUUUUUUUCCUUUCGCGAGAGUCACGAUUUUGUUUCCGCGAGAGGCACGAUUGUGUUUUCGCGAGAGUCAUGGCCGUGCCUCCUCGGAAACGGGAAAAAACGCGUUUUCUCUUUUUAUUUUCUUCCGCGAGAGUCACGGUUUUGUUUCCGCGAGAGGCACGGCUGUGAUUUCGUGAGAGAUACGGGUGUGCCUCUUUCGGAAAGGGAAAAACCCGUGCUCCCAGUUCAAUUUUUUUCGUCCGGCUUUUUUCGUGAAAAAAAGUUCGUCAAAACCUAUCAACAUGGGAUCUAGUUUUGAAGAUGUCAACAUGAGGAAUCCAACGGUGAAAGUGGUUCGAGAUUUGAACGCACGGUUUAAGAGAUAAAAUGUUUUGAAUAAACGGAUCUACGAAAAGAGGGAAAACUAUGACAGGUGGCACGUUGCAUGUGCGCCACUUGUCGCAAUCAGGGGAGUUGAAGUGAUCUUUGCAACAAGUACUCUUCAACUAGUGAUUUCGCCCAGUAUCUAGUUUGUUUCUUUCUUCACUCGGUUUCGUUUUAUUUUUCAUUUUCUUGUUUAUAAUUUCAUUUAUAUUUUCGUAACAUUCUAAAAACAUAUAUUUCAGAAACAUUGCAUGUGACAAUUAAAAAACAUAUAGUUAAAAAACGUUCGUGACGUUUUGUAAAAAUGUUUGUAACAAAUGUAAAAAAUGUCCGCAUAAUUUAAUCAAUUUUUAUUGCCAUAAAUAAAUCACCGUGUAUCUGAAAAAUGUUCAAAAGAUGUAUUUAAGAAAACUGCUCUUUUUCGAAACAAGGGAGAGGGGUGGAGUGCUGCGGUUCUUCACAAGCACAAUGGCUUAUUCCAAGCAAGGCCUGCCAUUUGUUUCCCCAACAUCUCUAAUCCUUAACAUGCUGACCCGUUGGCAUGUCAGCGAGGCCUACAAUUGUCUGCAGAAGUUGGGGAGGAGAGAAUCAUACUGGAGACAGACAACCAACUGGUGGCUAAAGUUCUCGUAUCACUAGAGGUCGACCGUUCGAGAUAUGGUCCUCUCAUCAAAGAAAUUAAGGUUCUACUCGGCGGUGCCGUGGAGUGGAAGAUGGUUUGGGCUAGACAUACAGCUAACAAGGCUGCUCAUUUACUUGCGAGGGAUGACUGACUAAUUAAGUUAUGUAUAAGACUUGGCUUAAUGUUGCCCUGUUGUGUUGUGUAUCAGUGACCCCGCCGAAGAGUUUGCCCCUCAAAAAAGGAGUAAAAAGAAAAAUAUACUUUGUGUAUUUGGGAGAUGUUGGAUGACCCACAAGUAUAGAGAAUCUAUCGUAGUUCUUUUGAUAAGUAAGAUUGUCGAACCUAAUAAGGAGCAGAAGAAAAUGACAAGUGGUUUUCAAUACGAUAUUCUCUGCAAGCACUGAAAUUAUCGGUAACAGAUAGUUUUGUGAUAAAAUAAUUCGUAACGGGUAAUAAGUAAAUAAAGUAACUAAGGUGCGGCAAGGUGGCCUAAUCCUUUUUUUAGCAGAGGAAAAGCCUGGACAAACUCUUAUAUAAAGCAAAGCGCUCCCGAAAACACAUGUGAAUUAUUGUCAACUUAGCUUUCAUCAUGCUCAUUGAUUUGCGUUAGUUACUUUGAUAUUUCGAUAUGUGGGUGGACCGGUGCUUGGGUCCUUCCCUUCCUUGGACAAGCCUCCCACUUAUGAUUAACUCCUCUCGCAAGCAUCCGCAAUUAUGAAAGAAGAAUUAAGGUAAACCUAACCAUAAAAUGAAACAUAUGGGUCCAAAUCAGCCCCUUACGAAGCAACACAUAAACUAGGGUUUAAGCUUAUGUCACUCUAACAACCCAUCAUCUACUUAUUACUUUCCAAUGUGUGACGCCCCCGAUUCAAUCGUACACUAAUCAUGCACGCAAACGUGUACGAUCAAGAUCAGGGACUCACGGGAAGAUAUCACAACACAACUCUAAAACAUAAAUAAGUCAUACAAGCAUCAUAAUACAAGCCAGGGGCCUCGAGGGCUCGAAUACAAGUGCUCGAUCAUAGACGAGUCAGCGGAAGCAACAAUAUCUGAGUACAGACAUAAGUUAAACAAGUUUGCCUUAAGAAGGCUAGCACAAACUGGGAUACAGAUCGAAAGAGGCGCAGGCCUCCUGCCUGGGAUCCUCCUAACUACUCCUGGUCGUCGUCAGCGGCCUGCACGUAGUAGGCACCUCCAGUAUACUAGUCGUCGUCGACGGUGGCGUCUGGCUCCUGGACUCCAGCAUCUGGUUGCGACAACCAGAAAGAAGGGAAAGGGGAAAAAGGGGGGAGAAAGCAACCGUGAGUACUCAUCCAAAGUACUCGCAAGCAAGGAACUACACUACAUAUGCAUGGGUAUAUGUGUAAGGAGGCCAUAUCAGUGGACUGAACUGCAGAAUGCCAGAAUAAGAGGGGGAUAGCUAAUCCUGUCGAAGACUACGCUUCUGGCAGCCUCCGUCUUGCAGCAUGUAGAAGAGAGUAGAUUGAAGUCCUCCAAGUAGCAUCUCCAAGUAGCAUAUCCAGGUAGCAUCUCCAAGCGCAUCUCCAGUCGCAUCGCAUAGCAUAAUCCUACCCGGCGAUCCUCUCCUCGUCGCCCUGUAGAAAAGCGAUCACCGGGUUGUCUGUGGAACUUGGAAGGGUGUGUUUUAUUAAGUAUCCGGUUCUAGUUGUCAUAAGGUCAAGGUACAACUCCAAGUCGUCCUGUUACCGAAGAUCACGGCUAUUCGAAUAGAUUAACUUCCCUGCAGGGGUGCACCACAUAGCCCAACACGCUCGAUCCCAUUUGGCCGGACACACUUUCCUGGGUCAUGCCCGGCCUCGGAAGAUCAACACGUCGCAGCCCCACCUAGGCAAAACAGAGAGGCCAGCACGCCGGUCUAAACCUAAGCGCACAGGGGUCUGGGCCCAUCGCCCAUAGCACACCUGCACGUUGCGAGGGCGGCCGGAAGCAGAACUAGCCCCCUUAAUACAAGAGCAGGCUUACGUUCCAAUCCGGCGCGCGCCGCUCCGUCGCUGACGUCUGAAGUGCUUCGGCUGAUACCACGACGCCGGGAUACCCAUAACUACUCCCGCGUAGAUGGUUAGUGUGUAUAGGCCAGUAGCCAGACUCAGAUCAAAUACCAAGAUCUCGUUAAGCGUGUUAAGUAUCCGCGAAUGCCGAACAAGGCCAGGCCCACCUGUCUCCUAGGUGGUCUCAACCUGCCCUGUCGCUCCGCCACAAAGUAACAGUCGGGGACCGUCGGGAACCCAGGCCCACCUCUACCGGGAUGGAGCCACCUGCCCCUUCAGCCCCCAUCUCCGAAUAGUAUCACAGGUAAUGUAACUGUGUAAAGUAUAUAGUAUAUGCCCGUGAUCACCUCCCGAAGUGAUCACGGCCCAGUAGUAUAGCAUGGCAGACGGACAAGAGUGUAGGGUCACUGCUGGAACACUAGCAUCCUAUACUAAGCAUUUAGGAUUGCGGGUAAGGUAUCAAUGACUGUAGCAGCAAUGACAGGCUAUGCAACAGAAUAGGAUUAACGGAAAGCAGUAACAUGCUACACUACUCUAAUGCAAGCAGUAUAGAAGAGAAUAGGCGAUAUCUGGUGAUCAAGGGGGGGGGGGGCUUGCCUGGUUGCUCUGGCAAGAGAGAGGGGUCGUCAACUCCGUAGUCGAUCACAGGGGUACCGGCAGCGGUCUCGGGGUCUACCGGAAAAAGUAUCGAAGGGGGGAACACAAUAAAUAACAGAGCAAUCAAAUGUAAUACAAAGCAAGACGCGGCAAUACGUUGUGCUAGGUGUGCCCUAACGCGGUAGGUGGUGAUACCGACGAAGGGGGGAAACAUCCGGGAAAGUAUCCCCGGUGUUUCGUGUUUUCGAGCACAGGAGCCGGAGGGGGAAAGUUGCGAGUUUGAUAGGUUAGGGAUGCGUGGCGGACGAACGGGCUGCGUUUCUGGGUUCGUCUCGUCGUUCUGAGCAACUUUCAUGUAGAAAGUAUUUUCAUCUGAGCUACGGUUUAUUUUCUAUUAAUUUUAAAAGAUUUAAAUCAUUUUCAGGAUUUAUUUAAUUAUUUUAAUGCAACAUUAUCCAGAAUAGUGCUUGCUGAUGUCAGCAUGAUGUCAUCAGUCAACAGAGGUGUUGACUGGGUCAAGCUGACGCGUGGGUCCCGCAUGUCAUUGACUAUUUUAGUUAAUUAAGUUAAUCAGUUAAUUAGGUUAAUUAAUCUUAAUUAGUUACUUUAAAAAGAAUUAAUUAAGUUAAUUAUUUAGUUAAUUAAUUAAUUAAUAUUUAAUUUUAUCUAUCUAUUUACUUAUUUAUUUAUUUAUUUUAAUUCUCUUUUUUUAAUAACGUUUCAGGGGGGUGGGGCCCGUUUGGCACUGGCACAGAGGCCUUAGCGGGGCGGGCGCUGGGUGCGGGUGCGUGGGCGCUUGCCCGGGAUUACAGGGGGCGCCAGCCAGGGGUGAGGCCACGACGACGGCCGGAGGGGCCGCAGCCACGGCGAGGUCGGCCGGGCUGCGAGCGGCGCCAGCGAGGCGACGGAGCGGUGGACGGGGCCGGCAGCGGGCCGGAGCGGCAGGGAAGAGCGGGAUGAGCGCCGUGCGGGGCCGCGGUCGUGGUCGGGGCGGCCAUGGCGACCGCGACGACGAGCGGGGGAAAGGGGAGGAUGAACGGGUCCUCACCAGCGGUGGUGAGCAGGGAGGCGUCGAGGCGCGUGGAGGCCGUUCGGGGAGGAGGACGGGGACGACGGCGUCGGAGACGAGGCAGGCCGUCGAGGGAGGAAGGCGGGGCCGGUCCAGCGGGGUGGCAUGGUCGAGGCGGCGUUCCGGCCGACGGCGGGGGAACGAGGUCGGUGUCGUCCGGCGAGGCAGCACCCGCGACGGCGUCGGCACCGCGGCGUUGAGGCGAGGAGGCGGACGGGGACGGCGCUCCGUCGAGGAGAGAGAUGAGGAGGCGAGGAGGCAGGCCGGCGUGGUGGCUCCGACGAGGUCGAAGCGGCGGCGGUGAUGGUGCUCCAGGGACGAUAGGCGACGCGGUCGGCGGGUCGAUGGAGUCGGGGCGGGUCGUUCCCCCGAUCCCGAUCUGGAUCGGGGAAGGGGAGAGAGAUGUGGGGAUCGUNNNNNNNNNNNNNNNNNNNNNNNNNNNNNNNNNNNGAUUUGCAUUCCUUUUCUUAUUUUCUUUUCUGUUUUAUUUAUUUUAGUUAGCAAAACAGCUUUACAAAAAUAUAACCCCUACUCCUAAAUUAGCAUAAUAACAUAGGCCACCUACUCCAAAAAGUUUGGUGAUUAUAUAAACUAGAUUAACAUCUGUUUAGUAUUUAAAAGCAUUUAACUAAUUGUCUUGCUGCUGUUUUACUUACUAUAGUGCAUUUAAAUACUUUACACAAGUGUGGUUUCUUCACCAAUAUUUAAUAUGGAUUAUCUGGCUUACUCCGAACAUUUUUGUUUUAAUAUUUGAAAACUUUUAUUGUUGCCUGAUUUUGAAUUUGAAUUUGAAUCGGUUUCGAACUAACUCGAGAUUAGCCACCGUGAUCAAAGUGACAUGGCAUCAUUAGCAGAGAAUUACUGUAGCUUAAUUAUCCGGGCGUCACACAAUGCCUUCCCCUAGGCCCAAAUAAUGGUGAAGUGUCAUGUAGUCGACGUACACAUAACAUCACUAGAGGAGAGAUAGCAUACAUCUCAUUAAAACAUCAAACGUAUACCAAAUUCACAUGAUUACUUAUAACAAGACUUCUCCCAUGUCCUCAGGAAAAAUCGUAACUACUCACAAAAGAUAAUCAUAAUCAUAAUCAGAGAAGUAUUAAUUAUCAUUAAGGAUCUGAGAAUAUAAUCUUCCACCUGAUAAACCAACUAGCAUCAACUACAAAGAAUAAUCAACACUACUAGCAACCCACAGGUACCAAUCUGAGGUUUUGGGACCAAGAUCGAAUACAAGAGAUGAACUAGGGUUUGAGAGGAAAUGGUGCUGGUGAAGAUAUUGAUGGAGAUUGACCCCUUCUCGAUGAGAGGAUCUACGGUGAUGACGAUGGCGACGAUUUCCCCCUCCUAGAGGGAUGUUUCCCUGGCAGGACAGCUCCGCCUGAGCCCUAGAUUGGUUCUGCCCGGGUUCCGCCUCGAGACGGCGGCGCUUCAUCCCGAAAGCCUCCUUCUAUUUUUUCCAGGUCAAAACAUGGCAUAUAGCCAAAGAUGGGCACCGAAGGCCUGCCAUGGGGCCCACAAAGUCGGGGGGCGCGCCCUCCACCCUUGUGGCUGGCUGGUGGCCCCCCUCUAGUACUUUCUUCGUCCAAUAUUUUUAUAUAUUUCAAAAAUAAGUUCCGUGAAGUUUCAGGACUUUUGCAGUAAUGCAGAAUAGGUCUUUAAUAUUUGCUCAUUUUCGAGUCCAGAAUUCCAGCUGCCGGUAUUCUCCCUCUUCAUAUAAACCUUAUAAAAUAAAAAAGAAAAGACAUAAAUAUUAUGAUAUAAUGUGUAAUAACAGUACAUAAUGCAAUAAAUAUCAAUAUUAAAGCAUGAUGCAAAAUGAACGUAUCAAUGUUUAACGUGUAUCACAAAAAUGUUUCACGUAUACACUAUAAAUGUACAUUAUCUAUUGAAAAAAUAGUAAUGAAGGCGAAAAAACCUAGAAAAUCAAAUAAAAUGAUGAAAAACGACAAAAAAUAAAAAGGAAAAAAGGGCUAAACCGAUGAUGAAACAAAGAAAUGAAAGAAGGAAAUCAAAGAAAAACAACAAAUGACGCAUCGGGAGAACACUGCAGGUGAGACGUAAAAUGGGUCGGCCCAGAAAUGACACAUUGCCACCUCUUUUAGCGCUGUGUUGGUUUUCCCCGAAGAGGAAGGGAUGAUGCAGCAAAGUAGCAUAAGUAUUUUUCUCAGCUUUUGAGAACCAAUGUAUCAAUCCAGUAGGAGGCUACGCGUGAGUCCCUCGUACCUGCAUAAAACAAAUAAAUCAUCGCAACCAGCGCAAAUAGGGGUUGUCAAUCCAUAUAGGGCCACUUACGAGAGUGAGAUCUGAUAGAUAUGAUAAGAUAAUAUUUUUGGUAUUUUUAUGAUAAAGAUGCAAAGUAAAAUAAAGGCAAAGUAAAUAACUAAGUAGUAGGAGAUUAAUAUGAUAAAGAUAGACCCGGGGCCAUAUGUUUCACUAGUGGCUUCUCUCGAGAGCAUAAGUAUUCUACGAUGGGUGAACAAAUUACUAUUGAGCAAUUGACAGAAUUGAGCAUAGUUAUGAUAAUAUCUAGGUAUGAUCAUGUAUAUAGGCAUCACAUCCGAGACAAGUAGACCGACUCCUGCCUGCAUCUACUACUAUUACUCCACUCAUCGACCGCUAUCCAGCAUGCAUCUAGAAUAUUAAGUUAAAAACAGAGUAACAUCUUAAGCAAGAUGACAUGAUGUAGAGGGAUAGACUCAUGCAAUAUGAAGAAAACCCCAUCUUGUUAUCCUCGAUGGCAACAAUACAAUACAUGCCUUGCUGCCCUUACUAUCACCGGGAAAGGACACCGCAAGAUUGAAACCAAAGCUAAGCACUUCUCCCAUUGCAAGAAAGAUCAAUCUAGUAGGCCAAAUCAAACUGAUAAUUCGAAGAGGCUUGCAAAGAUAACCAAUCAUACAUAAAAGAAUUCAGAGAAGAUUCAAAUAUUAUUCAUAGAUAGACUUGAUCAUAAACCCACAAUUCAUCGGUCUCAAUAAACACACCGCAAAAAGAAGAUUACAGCGAAUAGAUCUCCACAAAAGAGGGGGAGAACAUUGUAUUGAGAUCCAAAAAGAAAGAAAAAGCCAUCUAGCUACUAACUAUGGACCCAUAGGUCUGAAGUAAACUACUCAUACUUCAUCGGAGAGGCUAUGAUGUUGAUGUAGAAGCCCUCCGUGAUCGAUGCCCCCUCCGGUGGAGCUCCGGAACAGGCCCCAAGAUGGGAUCUCGUGGAUACAGAAAGUUACGGCGGUGGAAUUAGGGUUUUGGCUCAUGUUCUGAUCAUUUGGGGGUACGUGGAUAUAUAUAGGAGGAAGAAGUACGUCGGUGGAGCAACAGGGGCCCCACGAGGGCGGAGGGCGCGCCUGGGGGUAGGCGCGCCCCCUACCUCGUGGGUUCCUGUUAUGUGGCUUGACGUAGGGUCCAAGUCUCCUGAGUUGUAUUCGGUGAGAAAAUCACGUUCCCGAAGGUUUCAUUCCGUUUGGACUCUGUUUAAUAUUCCUUUUCUUCGAAACCCUAAAACAGGCAAAAACAGCAAUUCUGGGUUGGGCCUCCGGUUAAUAGGUUAGUCCUAAAAAUAAUAUAAAAGUAAAUAAUAAAGUCCAAUAAUGUCUAAAACAGUAGAUAAUAUAGCAUGGAACAAUAAAAAAUUAUAGAUACGUUGGAGACGUAUCACACAUCGGGAAACACUUCAGGCGAGACGAGACGUAAUACGCGUCUCAAAACGCACAACCCUGGUUCCCUCCAACGUGCUCUUUGAGCUCACGCCUGUUUUUUCCCUUUCUUUUUGUAAUUUUUUUGUCUUUUUUGUUUUUUGUUUUUCAAAAAAGGUUGUGAUUUUAGAAAGCAUUUGAAUUUACAAAAUCUUCCUGGAUUUCAAUAACUAUUUCUAUAUUUCGAAAAAAUAUUCUAAAAUCCAAAAAAUCAUGAAUUUACAAAAAAUGGUUUGAAUUUGAAAAAAUAUUCACAAAUUUGGAAUAUGUUUCUAGAGAUCAAAAAAUAUUUAUGAAUUGGAAAAUAGUUCUCAUAUUUCAAGAAAAUUCAUGAAUUUUAAAAUAUGUUUAUGUAUUUUCAAAAAUCAUGAAUUUGAAAUUGUUUCUGUACUUCAGAAAAUGUGCAAUAAUAUGAUAAAAUGUUUCAAGAUUUCAAAAAUUAUUCUUGUAUGCAAAAAAAUCUUCUUAGAUUUCAAAAUAUAUAUAUAUAUAAUCAUUAAUUUGAAAUUUUUCCAAAUAUAGAAAAUAUUCAUUAAUUAAUAAAAUGUUCCAAAUAUGAAAAAUAUGAGAAGGUUAAAAUUUAAAUAAAAUCUCAUGUUUUAGAAACAUGUUCACGAAAAUAUAAUAAUGAUAAAUGCAAAAGGUAAAAAUGGUAAAAGGUAAUAAAAAUAAAAGGGAAAAACACAGAACAAAAAAUCUGUUACGGGAUGGUCCUAGAACCUUAACCGAAACCGGUCGGGGGAGGAACUUGGAAUGGGCUGCCGCAUAUAGCAGGUCCUCUCCUUGGGGGGUUUGCGUUUGGUCGAAAUUCCCUGCCCUACGCGGGGAAUAGGACCCGCCACUUGCUUGCAAAUAAGAUUGAGGAAAUUUGGCCUCAAUUUCCUUUACCAGUAAUAUCCCGCAACAAAUUGAAAUUUUCCGUCGUAUGACGAAGUGCUUGUUCAUAGCAAAAAGGAAACUAUGUGUUGGGUUGAAGACUUGGACUGGGUUUGAUAGAGUGAGCGCUAAAUGGAGUGUGUGAAAAUAAAACGGCAAAAUGGGAUAGGCUCCGCGUGUGGUUUGCUGAGAAUUGUCAAGCCGGUAAAUGGGCUUGGCAACCCAUUCUCCUGGACAUGAUGUCAAUUGUCAUGUAGCCAAUUCCAGAUGGAGGUCUAUUACAAGCCGAGCCAGAAAAGGGGCAUCAUUUACUUUGCACGGUGUCAUAGCCGGGUUGCAAACUUUCCAAAGAGGGUAUAUCUGGAGAAUUGGUGAUGGUAACAACGUUAAGAUAUGGGCUGAUCCCUGGGUACCUGUUAAUCUGAAUAGAAUGAUAGUAUCUCCAAGGGGCUAGACAAUUAUUACCCAAGUCAAUGAAUGCAUAGAUCCAUUUACCAAUCAGUGGGACGAGGAGCUUAUCAGAUCCACCUUUUGGCCAAUUGGUGUUAGAAGGAUCCUUCAAAUUAUAUUGAAUUACUUGGCAUUUCAUGAUUUCAUCUCAUGGCACUGUUCUAGGACUAGGAUUUUUUUCUCAAAAAAACUGCUUAUCACCUUGAAGGGCAACAUAAAUAUGGUACUAGUUUACUCGGGGAACUCCUUUACUCGGACUAGGACCAUUUGUGACAAAUCUAGUUUCGAGAGCUCUUUGGCAGUUGUAAAUUCCACCCACAGUGCAUAUCUUCUGUUGCGAAGUCUCCAGGGUAUUGUUCCCUUAAAAUCUAUUUUAGCGAAUCCCCAUUAGAUUGAUAGGACAAUGUCUAAUCUGUAAGCAUGGAGGAGAGGAUGUGAAACACCUUUUGUUAGCAUGCAAUAUGGUUGUGCAACUAAGGACUAGACUGGGAAUCUAUGAUCGAAUUGUUGCUGUGGUUAGGGCAGAUCGCUCAGGGUCCGAGACCUCGGAACAUCUAAUCUGUGGUGCGGGAGGAGUUAUGCCAGGCACUCAGAUAACCGGGAUCACAGAAACAAUUGCAGUCGGUUGUUGGUACUUAUGGUGGCUAAGACCCCAAGUAACGCAUGAAGGAAAAGUCUUUCCGUAUGGCGAGGUGCAGUUUCUAUUCUAGCAGUUACAGGAAAUGCUGCAAAUAUAAAAGAUUCUUAAGCAAAUGUUGUUGAUGGUCGCUGGGCAAAACCAGAGCCUAGGUCAGUAAAGCUAAAUGUUGAUGCGUCCUAGUUUGCAGAUGAAGCGGCUGGGGCAAGGGCGGAUGUUCUCAGAGACUGUAACGACAAUUUUUUGAUGAGAAGAAAAUAUAGUCAAUGCCCUACUGAGAGCGGCAAAAUGGCUCCUGAGCUCAACUGCUCCCGCUCGUGCACAGUAAAAUCAAAAUAAAUACUAGAAAAUUUUAAAAAUCUGAUUUUUUUUCUAUGAAAGAUAUUUGAGUGUGCGAGGUCCGUGCCAAUUUUUAGCGUGUUUGGACAUCUGGGUAGUUCUCAGAAAACAACAAUUUGAGAUAUGUGAAAAAGUUUACUAUUUAUGCAUUGUUCGGACCGAUUUUGUUUUUGUUUGUUGAGAGCUACUCAGGUGUCCGAAGGCGGUGAGAAUUGGCACGACCUCACGCACUCAAACAUCUCCCAUGCAAAAAAUGAUUUUUUUUUAUUUUUCCAGUAUUUUUUUGAAUUUACUGUUCGAUGAGUGUGGAUGAGGCCUGGCUCAGAAUUGGAUAUUCGGUGCCCUACUUCACAUCAUUUGCUACGGCAUGAAAAAAAUGGAUGCCUUAAUUUUAUAUCGUCUGUUAUAUAUGGAAGGAAAGAAAUCUGGUGCCCUAAAACUGUUUCCGAAUGCCCUAUUUUAGGUAAUCUGUUGGAGAUGCUCUUACAUCCCUCGGUUUGAUCCUGAUUAAGGUUGGGGCCGGGUUGGACGGUGGGUUUUCCUUUACCUUUACUGCGUCGAACUUGCCUUCGUUAGUUUCAAAUUAUAAAAUUUUGCUUUAGAGCUUUUUUAGGGUACCCUGUAGUGAAUAAAGACCGUCCAUCCGCAAAAUCAAACGGCCAUGACCGACCUGUACUGCUGCAAUCAGGCCAACAACAUGGCAAGCAGUAUUAGUAGCACCGGUCGUUUUCGACCAACCAGUAUACAUGUUCUCAGGGCAUUCUGGGACUUCUACGAUUCACCUCGCACCGACCCACCCCGCCCGUUGUUUUCAUCUAUGGACUCUGGUAGAGUUCCGGUGGCCACCACUGUGCCUCCUCUUUCUUCUCCAGCCCGCCUUCCCUCGCUCAAGAAGCCCGAGUCUCGUUCCUUCCCCGUGCAUGGAUCCGGCGCUCGACUGCGUGGCGUAGGCCUCGGCCCAGACCGUGCUCUUCUUCUCCAAUAGGUCCGAUAGGACGACCAUGAGGCGUUGGCUUGCGCUCCUCCCAUGGCUGGCUGAGCGCUCGUUUUAUCUUGGUUCACAACGGCAGCGAGGAAACCACUUGGCGCCGUUGUCCGUCAAUGCGGAGGCUUGCCAUGUGCAGAAGUUCGUCGUCCCGUCCAUGACGACCAGGCAGGAUGAAGGAGGGCGUUGAGGUAGCCGUGGUCGCCAAGUGUUGGUUCCAUGUAUGUAUGUAUGUGAGGAGAGCAUGGCGGCGAUGGGAGCAAGCAGGCGAUGCCGAUUACAAGCUAUUACUACGAAAUAGGCUGGCAUCUUGGCCCAUCAACAAUCCCGUUUCAACGGUGAGAUUUAAUUAUACUGGUCCGCUCACGCCAAGCAGUAUAGGGUACCAUAAAAGAGCUCUUGCUUUAAUGGAAAAUGGGGCCUCAAACUGCUCACCGGAACAUUUCGAUCGGGUUAGACGCACAUCAGCACAUGCAUGGUACUAGCGGUACCGUUCCUCAACAAGACACGCGUUGGUACGUGCCGCCGUGUGUUCCUCGCCCAGAACCAGAUCCAAGGGAGCACAUGCACCAACGGUAUUGACUGUUGAGCAUUGCACCUUUGCAAGUACAGCGUCGAGUUGCCCCGGCCCCCCCGCACCGGCCGUGCCGUGCCGUGCGUGCCACGGUGACGCCUCCGCGGAGGCGGAGCCAUGCAUGGGAGGCCAAGGUGACCUCUCCAGCCAGCCAGCCAGCUUUGAAUGUUGGGCUGAUCAAACGUAUCGGAAGUGGCACAACAGUGUCUAUAUGGGAGGAUAAAUGGAUCCCAAAUACAUUGACAAAGGCACCUGUUGCACGUCUUGGCGAUGUACAAAUCAGCUGGGUAGCAAACAUUAUUGAUGAUGAGAAUUGGACUUGGAAGUCUGAAGUUAUAAGACAAUCCUUUAUCCCUCCAGAUGCGGAUGCAAUCCUUAAUAUCCCUUUGAGGACUGGAGGGGGAGAUGAUUUCUAUGCCUGGGCGUCUGAGAGGUCCGGGAUUUAUACUGUAAAAUCAGCGUAUCGCUCUCUAAUGAUUCAGAACGAGCAUAAAGCUCUAGAAGAAGGGACGACUACAGAUACUUCGGAGAUGGAUAAACAGUUGUGGUCUCGGUUAUGGAAACUCAAAGUGCUGCCCAAAGUUCGCGUCUUCUGGUGGCGCGUGAUGCGAGGGAUUCUUCCCGUCGAAAGUACACUGAAAUAUCGGCAUAUAUCCAGCGAGAGCAGGUGCAAAAUCUAUUUGAGUUCAGAGGAGGAUAUGAUGCAUGCAUUACUGAACUGUAUCCAUGCGAGAAGGUUUUGAAACGAAGCCCCGCAGUGGCUGCAUGUUAAGCGACCAGACCUGCACCCUCUUACUUGGGUUAAGGAUGUCUUGUGUGAGUCUCUGUUUUCAGAUUCUGAUAGAGCAAAACUUGUGUCUAUCAUGUGGGCUAUUUGGACUUCACGCAACAACAUCACACAUGACAAAGGAGAGUUUGAUCCUGUUCGGUCCAUGAAGCACAUACAGGAAGCUUUAGCGAUUUUAGAGUUACCUCAAGAUCAUGCUCGGAUCUUGCCUGGUCAUGGUUGGAGGCCGUCGGAUGAUGCGUGGAUAAAAAUCAACGUCGACGGUAGCAUUGCCAUGGAGUCCCGCCGAGGAGGGGUUGGAGGGGUAGCACGUUCUCCGUCUGCUUUCAAGGCUGCAUGGUGUAAGCCAUACUAUGGAAUCACAGACCCUCUUCUGGCUGAAGCGUUGGCUCUUCGAGAUGGCGUAAUUUUCGCAAAGCUUCGAGGUUAUGAUCAAGUCAUCUUGGAGACGGAUAGCCAAGAGGUUGUUAACCUCUGGCACUCGCGCCAUGAUUUUUCAAUGGUGGCGCCGAUUCUUGACGAGAUUGGGGAGCAUGCCAGCUCUUUUAAAUUUUUUCUUAUUCAACAUGUGGUGAGAUCAGCAAAUUUUCCUGCUCACCUUUGUGCGAAGCAACCUAACAUGAUGGAUGUAACAGAUUGUUGGUUAGACUCUAUGCCUAGUUUAUUUGUAACUAGCCUCCUGGCAGAUGUUGCCGGGGUGGUUUCUGUUGAAUAAAACUUUCUAAUUUGCCCUGCAAAAAAAAAAAAAAAGCCAGCCAGCCAGCCACCAUAGCGGCGCAUUGAAUUUGGCGUGCGUGGAGCGGGGCCAGAGAUCAAUCCAAUCUACGGGCUGAGGAGCUGGCUGUGGUGCAGUGUGUGGGCGCUGCAUGCGUACGGCGGCGUGCACGAUGGACGGGCAUGGAUCCCCACCCAGCGACGCCGUUCGUAUGCGCGUGCAUGUGGAAUGUCCUGCGUGCCGGAUCGGUUAUUGGGCGUUGAUGAUUGCCCUAUCUGCUCCGGUUUUAUGGCCAGCUGAGCUUCUCCUUUUCCAAGCUUCCGGUGUGCGCGUUCACAGUCUGUCUGCUAACCUAACCGGUACCCGGCCGGCCGGUGCGGUGGCGAUGCUUCCCGACGAUGAUGGGUGAUCCUAACUUGCUAGGCAGGGCUGGAAAUGUCGGCGAGUUAUUAAUUAGCGGCUCAUGUACUGAACUAGUACAACGUACGUGCUCCAGUAACUCGUCAGUUCAGCCGGUCGAUCGGGUACUCUUAUUAUGGGGGAAAAGACUGCAUGCACUAUACGUCGGCAUUGCUCAAAAGUCAAAACCAACUCACCAUGAACGGAAGAUGCACUCACACAAUGUAGGAGCUUCGGUUCACCCAAUCAGAAAGUAACUGAUGUGCAGCUAGCUAUAGCUAGCUACCUCGUCCUUGAGCUAAACACGUACCAUACGUACGUACGUACGUCGAGCUAAGCUAGCUACCUCGUGUUCCCGGCUUUCGAUCAGCUACGCAUAGCAAUACAUACAUGUACUAAUCCACAUCACAUGGCGCUAGCUGGACAGUGCGUGUGCAAACGACCAGUGUGUAUCCACGCCGAUUCUCAACAUCUUUUGUGGUACUGUACGUAUGAUUGUAUUUGGAUACGUCUCCAGAGUCCGUCCAGACCCCAGACUGUGUUGUAUAAAUCCCUCGUGCCCGUGCCUGCCGGUCCUUGUUUACACUCGGAGCGUCGUCGCCGACGCGGUGAAGCUGCAUUGCUUAACCACAUUGCCCGCCGCCUCCAAGUUAAAUGCCGGACCCAACAGCGCGCGAGUGGCAAAAAGGCCCAAUCGGUGAUUAAUCUCCACCGCUGCCCAACUCACCAGCCCUAUAAAUAACACACAAGCAUGACAGUACGCACAUCCCCUCUGUGUGUGCGUGUGUUGUCGCGAUCACAAUCAAUCUCACUCACUCACUCACUCACUCCAUCCAGCAGCGGCUCGCUCACUGUGUCACCGAGAAGAUACUCGGUAGCGCAAUGGCGGGGCGAGCGUGCUGGCGGUCGCUGGCCGUGGUGCUGGCGGUGGUGGGCGCGGCGGCGGCGACGGCCGGGGCGGCGCCGCAGGUGCCCUGCUACUUCGUCUUCGGGGACUCGCUGGUGGACAACGGCAACAACAACGGCAUCGUCUCCCUGGCGCGCGCCAACUACCCGCCCUACGGCGUCGACUUCGCCGGCGGCCCCACCGGACGCUUCUCCAACGGGCUCACCACCGUCGACGUCAUCUGUAAGCAUAAAACUUUCUUCUGCCGUAUUCGUACUUUGCAUGCUUUUACCAAAAUGCACGUACGGCAGCUUGCUUCCACUAUACGUGGCACGUACACAUUGUGAAACUACAUUUCAAUCUUGCUCUGUUUUUGCGCUGGGUGCAGCCAAGCUUCUGGGCUUCGACGACUUCAUCCCCCCCUUCGCCGGCGCGACCAGCGACCAGCUCCUCACCGGCGUCAACUUCGCCUCCGCCGCCGCCGGCAUCCGGGAAGAGACCGGGCAGCAGCUGGUACGUCACGUAGUCUACUACCACCUUCAUGCUACUACGCGCUCUGUUACUACGUAGCAAUCUCGAAUGUCAUGCCGAUUCCUCAAGAGAUGCUUCUGGCUGCAGGGUGGGCGCAUCAGCUUCAGCGGGCAGGUGCAGAACUACCAGAGCGCGGUGGAGCAGCUGGUGAGCAUCCUGGGGGACGAGGACGCGGCGGCGAACCGCCUGAGCCAGUGCAUCUUCACCGUCGGCAUGGGCAGCAACGACUACCUCAACAACUACUUCAUGCCGGCCUUCUACAACACCGGCAGCCGCUACACGCCGGCGCAGUACGCCGACGACCUGGCGGCGCGCUACACGCAGCUCCUGCGCGCGCUCUACAGCUACGGGGCGCGCAAGGUGGCGCUCAUCGGCGUGGGGCAGGUCGGGUGCAGCCCCAACGAGCUGGCCACGCAGAGCGCCAACGGCGUGGCCUGCGUCGACCGGAUCAACGUUGCCGUCCGGAUGUUCAACCAGCGGCUCGUCGGCAUGGUCGACCAGUUCAACCGCCUCCUCCCCGGCGCGCACUUCACCUACAUCAACAUCGACGGCAUCUUCUCCGACAUCCUCCGGGCGCCGGGCGGCCAUGGCCUGAAGGUGACCAACCGGGGCUGCUGCGGCGUGGGGCGGAACAACGGGCAGGUCACCUGCCUGCCGUUCCAGACGCCGUGCCCCAACCGCAACGAGUACCUCUUCUGGGACGCCUUCCACCCCACCGAGGCCGCCAACGUGCUCGUCGGCCAGCGGGCCUACGCCGCCCGGCUCGCCUCCGACGUGCACCCCGUCGACCUCCGCACCCUUGCAAGCCUCUAGCCCGCCCGCUCGUCGGAGGGAGGGGCGACGGCCGCCGCCGUUGGUGUCGGUGAAAAAUAUGCAUAAUUCUGAUUCUACGGUGUACCAGCACAUACAAGAUGAUACGUUUGCGUCUGAAUUUUGCACCAACUGUACCCUCUUACUCAGUUCACAGUGCUUCAGAUGGGCAACCAACCAUGUACUACAAUUGUGCAGCAUUUAAUAUAAUACUGUAUAAACAACUGUCUUUGGCUGAGAAGAAUAGCUUGCAGUUCACAGAAUUCAUUAAUUUGCUGGAAGAAUUUAGUCUGCAAAAACAUAUGAAUAGGAAUGCAACAAGCUUGGGGCUUCGUAUUACCACCACUGCCAAAGUCACAUGAGGAAAAUAACAGAUUUUCCCUUCCAAUGCUAGAAAAUUCUACCUAUGGCAGCACUGAAACUACCAUCUGACCAAGAUGAAAAGGCAGGGCUCUCGACGAUUGAUCGCUCGAAAACAAACAAACAACAAUGGUUUCAACAUGAAAAGUUGGAAAAUAAUAGAACUUCUCUUCCAAUGCUGGAAAACUCCAUCUAUCCCAGCUGAAACUACCAUCUAACCAAGAUGAAAGGGCAGAGAUGCUGCCGAUUGCUUGAGGACAAAUACAAUCUAACCUAAAUGGAGGAGCCAGGAGCAUAUUACAACAACAACAACAGUAGGGAAGGGCUAGCGAUAUUACGGGAGAAACUGAUGCAAGAUGCCAGCUCCGUCCCAUAAGAUCAUUUAUCUGGUUUCAGGUUGGGCUUGGUACGAAGUAUCUUCAUGAUUAGCUAGUCUGAUGACGACGAAAAGACUCAUUAACCCUGGGAACGGUUAAACUCUGCAGCUUCAG